UGAGGAAUAUUGGUCAAUGGUCUGACGACUGAACCAGCCAUGCCGCGUGAAGGUCACGGCCCUAUGGGUCUUAAACUUCUUUUGCAAGGGAGCAAUAAGGUCUACGUGUAGACUGAUGAGAGUACCUUGCGAAUAAGCAUCGGCUAACUCCGUGCCAGCAGCCGCGGUAAUACGGGGGAUGCAAGCGUUAUCCGGAUUUAUUGGGUUUAAAGGGUGCGUAGGCGGCGUUGUAAGUCAGCGGUGAAAUUUCGGGGCUCAACCUCGAACGUGCCGUUGAUACUGCAGCGCUAGAAUGCGGAUGCCGUGGGAGGAAUGUGUGGUGUAGCGGUGAAAUGCAUAGAUAUCACACAGAACACCGAUUGCGAAGGCAUCUCACGAAUCCGCAAUUGACGCUGAGGCACGAAAGCGUGGGGAUCAAACAGG
Molecule: ribosomal RNA, 423 nt
Filed under: uncultured prokaryote
Also listed under: 1 other name
Description: bacterial SSU rRNA
Rfam family: Bacterial small subunit ribosomal RNA
Source: RNAcentral